This 468-nucleotide ribosomal RNA is filed under the name uncultured bacterium. RNAcentral's name for it is "partial 16S ribosomal RNA". It matches the Rfam family "Bacterial small subunit ribosomal RNA", at positions 28 to 507 of the family's 1533-position model. The record is from RNAcentral.
GAUGAACGCUGGCGGCGUGCCUAAUACAUGCAAGUCGAGCGAACAGGCUAGGGCCUUGUGGCUCGGACGUUAGCGGAACGCGUGUGAAUAACACGUGCAUACCCCCCCUGUAAGACUGGGAUAACUUCGAGAAGCCGUCGAAAAUAGCAGAUAAUAUAUUUACCCACAGGGUUCAACAGUGAAGUACGGCUGUUGUGGAUCGGCUAGCGGGCUCCCCGCCUGUUUGUGAGGUAGUUGCGCACCAAGGUUACGACGGGUAGCCGGCCUGAGAGAGCGACCGGCCACACUGGGACUGAGACACGGCCCAGACUCCUACGGGAGGCAGCAGUGGGGAAUAUUGCACAAUGGGCGAAAGCCUGAUGCAGCGACGCCGCGUGAGGGAUGACGGCCUUCGGGUUGUAAACCUCUUUCAGCAGGGAAGAAGCGAAAGUGACGGUACCUGCAGAAGAAGCACCGGCUAACUACGUG